GAGGGCCCCUCUGCGUGUUCACAGCGGACCUUGAUUUAAUGUCUAUACAAUUAAGGCACGCGGUGAAUGCCAAGAGAGGCGCCUCC
Cervus hanglu yarkandensis (Yarkand deer) is the source of this 86-nucleotide microRNA precursor. Ensembl annotates it as microRNA 124-3. Its record names the gene MIR124-3. Lineage: Eukaryota; Metazoa; Chordata; Mammalia; Artiodactyla; Cervidae. The record is from Ensembl.